Molecule: long non-coding RNA, 205 nt
Organism: Talpa occidentalis (Iberian mole)
Lineage: Eukaryota; Metazoa; Chordata; Mammalia; Eulipotyphla; Talpidae
Exons: 3
Source: RefSeq, a predicted model, not a curated record
CCUGGGUGCCGCCAUUCUGGGAGAACCCGCUGGGUUCUGGGUCAGAGUCUGUGGGUCCUCGCGAGAGAACACAGACGCCGCUGGAGCUCGUGUCCUGACUCCCUGGUAAAUGGGGAGAAUGCCAUCUGCAAUAUUGGACGGUUUUGAGAGAAUAUAUGUAAAAUGCUCUUAAGCAUAUAUUGCCUGAUGAUGAACUUAUAAAAAG